This is a long non-coding RNA of Penaeus indicus, 643 nucleotides long. RefSeq lists it as uncharacterized. The record is from RefSeq and is a predicted model, not a curated record. The transcript has 3 exons. Lineage: Eukaryota; Metazoa; Arthropoda; Malacostraca; Decapoda; Penaeidae.
GGGCAGGAACCUGGGCCAGCAGCAGCUCCGUCAGGUCCUUCGUGUUCCCUCUCCUGCUGGCUUCCAGCAAAUCGGGAAACCUCUUCCUGGCAGCUUCGUGAUGCAUCUCCCCGCCUGAAGAACAUUCCUGGGAAAGUCACGGCAUACGGACGAGGGGCAUGAGCCAAGAUAAUGGAGAGGCAACUACUUAGUGCCCAGAGAGAAGUGGAAAGAUUGAUGCUGGGAACUAGCCUGUGAGAUAGGGUGAGGGCAACGUGGAUCAGGGAACAGACCAAAGUGGAAGAUAUACUUGAGAGUGUUAGGAAAGAAGAAAUGGCAAAACAGUUCAUACACGUCGGAAACAAGACGCCAGAUGGACAAAGAAAGUGACAGACUGGUAUAUAACAAACACAAGGAGGCAGGAACCUAAGCAGUGACAAGAUGGCGUGACGAGAUAACGGGUUUCGGAGGCCGAGAUUGGACACAGAGAACGCAAGACAGAACAAAAUGGAAAAAAAUGGUAGACGCCAACGUCUUACAGUGAAAUGUUACAGGUUGAUGGUGAUGCUCGCUUCCCUUGCUUGUCCUGAAUCUUGGGAUCACAACCGUACUUGAUGAGGAGGCAAGCGAUGGCCACCCAUGCCCCUGCGACGUUGUGCUUUCG